UCACGGGCGGCGGCCGCGGGCAGGGCAGGGCAGGGCAGGGCCUCCCGCGCGCCCCGCCGUCGUCGUCGCCCCAAGGGGCCGGGGCUCGGCGCGCGCCCAGUGUCGCCCCUGGGGCCGGGCCGCCAUCUUCCCCCGCGGGGCGCCCCGCUCCUUCCCUUCCGCUUUGGCCUUUUUUUUAAUUUUUUCUCCCUAAAAAAGACCAAUAAAUGCCGCCCCCCGCCCAGACCCACCUGCGCGGCCGCGCAGAGCGGGGGGAGGCGCGGGGCAGGCCCGGCCCGGCUGGGGGGAAGGGGCUCACCCGCAGCGCUCCCCUCCCUUAGCUCUCCGCCAUCCGGGAUGAAGGAAUAUGAACCUUACUGGAGUUACUAGUCCUUUCCAGUGCGGAAGCCUGCGCUUGGAGCCAGAAUGGCUCUUCUGGUUUACCGGAGCCCUACAGUCCGAUAAAAAUAAUCGGAAUAUUUGUGACAAGAAAUUUGUGACAAGGCCAGUGACAAGAAACAAUGUCCGAAAGGAGUGGGAGUAUGAGGAAUCCUGCUGUCCCAGGUUAACCCACUGUUCACGCAGGGAAACAGUUAUUCAACACCGUGGUCUGACAUGCCUUAACGUUUUGCUGAUCCACAGCGGAGCUGGGAAGAGCACAGUCAAGCCGUAUAAACUAUGUGGUUAAUUUAAAUGUAAUUUGUUUCACACACAAGGCAAAAAAGAGAAAAGAAACCCAACAGGACAACCUUCCACUAUUCAAACAUAAACAGUGCCGGUAUUUGUUUAUUUAAACAUUCACGUUUAUUUACUAUUUAGAUAUUAAAUAUUUAUUUAGCCACACACAAACACGGUUGAUAAACAAAUACCAUCUAAAGCUAAGGGAGACGGGGUUCCAAAUCAAAAGGCAAACUAAAAAAAAAGUCGUAUUUUUAAAGAUCACCAUGAUCUGUGGGUAACUUUCGUUCUUGUCCUAGUGAAGAUUUUCUACAUGUUUACGAGUCAGCAUUUCUGCGAGCUGGAUCAUUUCUAAGGGGCUGAAAAGAAACGUUUUCUAAAUCAGAUGUUUUUAUACAUAUAUGUUAUUAUUUUUAAUAAAGGCGCACUCUCCCGAGGCCA
This 1098-nucleotide long non-coding RNA is filed under the name Dromaius novaehollandiae (emu). RNAcentral describes it as "lncRNA (ENSDNVG00000014607.1)". Lineage: Eukaryota; Metazoa; Chordata; Aves; Casuariiformes; Dromaiidae. The record is from RNAcentral.